CUUCCAGUAGCACCUUAGAGACCAACUAAGUUUGUUAUUGGUAUGAGCUUUUGUGUGCAUGCAAAGCUCAUACCAAUAACAAACUUAGUUGGUCUCUAAGGUGCUACUGGAAG
This is a non-coding RNA of Podarcis lilfordi (Lilford's wall lizard), 113 nucleotides long. The record is from the annotation of a GenBank genome assembly. Lineage: Eukaryota; Metazoa; Chordata; Lepidosauria; Squamata; Lacertidae.